GAGGGUAUAGCUUAGUGGUAGAGCAAAUGCUUCGCACGCACUAGGUCCUGGUUCAAUCCCCAGUACUUCCA
Transfer RNA from Camelus ferus (Wild Bactrian camel), 71 nucleotides. It matches the Rfam family "tRNA". From Rfam's summary of the family: Transfer RNA (tRNA) molecules are approximately 80 nucleotides in length. Their secondary structure includes four short double-helical elements and three loops (D, anti-codon, and T loops). The record is from Rfam. Lineage: Eukaryota; Metazoa; Chordata; Mammalia; Artiodactyla; Camelidae.